CCUACGGGACGCACCAGUGAGGAAUAUUGCACAAUGGGCGCAAGCCUGAUGCAGCCAUGCCGCGUGUGUGAAGAAGGCCUUCGGGUUGUAAAGCACUUUCAGCGGGGAGGAAGGCGGUGAGGUUAAUAACCUCAUCGAUUGACGUUGCCCGCAGAAGAAGCACCGGCUAACUCCGUGCCAGCAGCCGCGGUAAUACGGAGGGUGCAAGCGUUAAUCGGAAUUACUGGGCGUAAAGCGCACGCAGGCGGUCUGUCAAGUCGGAUGUGAAAUCCCCGGGCUCAACCUGGGAACUGCAUUCGAAACUGGCAGGCUAGAGUCUUGUAGAGGGGGGUAGAAUUCCAGGUGUAGCGGUGAAAUGCGUAGAGAUCUGGAGGAAUACCGGUGGCGAAGGCGGCCCCCUGGACAAAGACUGACGCUCAGGUGCGAAAGCGUGGGGAGCAAACAGGAUUAGAUACCCGUGUAGUC
This 465-nucleotide ribosomal RNA is filed under the name uncultured bacterium. RNAcentral describes it as "bacterial SSU rRNA". It matches the Rfam family "Bacterial small subunit ribosomal RNA", at positions 338 to 795 of the family's 1533-position model. The record is from RNAcentral.